UACGUAGGGGGCAAGCGUUGUCCGGAUUUAUUGGGCUUAAAGGGUGCGUAGGCGGCCCUGUAAGUCAGUGCUGAAAUAUCCCAGCUUAACUGGGAGGGUGGCAUUGAUACUGCGGGGCUAGAGUACAGAUGAGGUAGGCGGAAUUGACGGUGUAGCGGUGAAAUGCGUAGAUAUCGGAAGGAACAUCAGUGGCGAAAGCGGCUUCCUGGACCAGUACCGACGUUCAGGCACGAAAGCGUGGGGAGCAAACAGG
Molecule: ribosomal RNA, 253 nt
Filed under: uncultured bacterium
Lineage: Bacteria
Description: partial 16S ribosomal RNA
Rfam family: Bacterial small subunit ribosomal RNA
Source: RNAcentral